GGCUAAUUUUUUUGUAUUUUUAGUAGAGAUGAGGUUUCACCGUGUUAACCAGGAUGGUCUUGAUCUCCUGACCUCGUGAUCCACCUGUCUCGGCCUCCCAAAGUGCUGGGAUUACAGGAGUGAGCCACCGUGCCCCUCCUCCUUUACUUUCUUAAUAAACUUGCUUUCACUUCACACUGUGGCAUCACCCUGAAUUCUUUCUUGCACAAGAUCCAAGAACCCUCUCUUGGGGUCUAGAUUGGGACCCCUUUCCUGUAACUAUCAUGCUACUGCACUCCAGCCUGGGCAACAGAGCAAGGCCCUGUCUCAAAAAAAAAAAAAAAAAAGGAACAUGACUUAAUACAUUCAUUUUGGAGGGUAAGUCUCUCAAAAUAGGCCUUUCACUGGGGGAAAAUGGUAAAAAUACUCCCUGGUAAUUCAAGAAUUGGAGACUCCUGAGAUGCUGCUCAUAUUAGCUGAGCACUUAUCAAUACUUCACUUUUUUCCAUAUAUACUCAAGGAACAAGUGCUAUUUAAAGUGUUUCACUCCACUGUGCUAGGUGCAAGACUAUAAAGAGGUGUGAGGAUCAACACUUUUAUGAAAACCAGUGUCAUUCUGGAUAUAGUUUCAGAUGCUAGUGCAAAGGAAGCUCUUGGUAUACGGAAAAAGUAUUCAACAAUAAAUUAGGCAUGGUUGCUUCCAUUUUCUGCCUCACAUACUUUUUUUUUCGUGGUUGAAGUGAUAUAAUGUCUAUGAUAUUUUAGAUUGGCAGUUGCAAACUAGUGGUCCUCAGCGUGCUUUUUAUGACACCUACAAGGUCUGAAGACUUUGAUUUCAUAUUAAAAAUCUGGGUUUCAGGCUGGGUGUGGUGUUGCAUGCCUGUAAUCCCAGCACUUUGGGAGGCUGAGGCAGGAGAAUCGCUUGAACCAGGGAGGUGGAGGUUGCAGUGAGCCAAGAUCGCGCCACUGCACUCAAGCUUAGGCAAUAGAGCAAGACUCCAUCUCAAAAAAUGAAUAAAUAAAUAAAUAAAAUCUGGGUUUCAGGCCAGGUGUGGUGGUGCACUCCUGCAAUCCCAGCACUUUGGGAGGCUGAGAUGGGCAGACAGCUUGACCUCAGGAAUUCCAGACUAGCCUGGGCAACGUGGCGAAACCCCAUGUCUACAAAUAAUACAAAAAAAUUAGCUGGGUGUAGUGGAGUGUGCCUGUAAUCCCAGCAACGUGGGAGGCUGAAGUGAGAGGAUUGCUUGAGCCUGGGAGGUUGAUGUUACAGUGAGCUGAGAUCGCCCUCCUACACUCCAACCUGGGCAACAGAGCCAGACCUUGUCUUAAAAAAA
RNAcentral lists this long non-coding RNA (1313 nucleotides) under Homo sapiens (human). RNAcentral's name for it is "HSALNT0228720". Lineage: Eukaryota; Metazoa; Chordata; Mammalia; Primates; Hominidae. The record is from RNAcentral.